RNAcentral lists this transfer RNA (290 nucleotides) under uncultured archaeon. RNAcentral describes it as "16S-23S ribosomal RNA intergenic spacer". The stretch from base 60 to 132 matches the Rfam family "tRNA". The record is from RNAcentral.
AACGAACUAUCUCGGGAACGCGGUUACCAGACAAACUGUAUAAUUGCCAGUGCCAACACGGGCUCAUAGCUCAGUUGGAAGAGCGCCGCCUUUGCAAGGCGGAGGCCAUGGGUUCAAAUCCCAUUGAGUCCACUUUCGAUGCACCUGGAGAUGCGAGUCACCAGGGAAGGGCUGAGGGUCAAUGACCCUUUGAGGCCGUGUAAAGGUUUGCACUCAGGACGUUAUAUGGGUUUGACGGAGCACUGGUCUUAGCCUGUCAGUGAAUGGCUCGGUUCGAGUGCCGAAGAAGG